This 494-nucleotide ribosomal RNA is filed under the name uncultured bacterium. RNAcentral describes it as "partial 16S ribosomal RNA". It matches the Rfam family "Bacterial small subunit ribosomal RNA", at positions 28 to 507 of the family's 1533-position model. The record is from RNAcentral.
GACGAACGCUGGCGGCGUGCUUAACACAUGCAAGUCGAACGGUGAAGCGCCUUCCUUUUUGGUGGGUGUGGAUGAGUGGCGAACGGGUGAGUAACACGUGAGUAACCUGCCCCCUUCUUCUGGAUAACCGCAUGAAAGUGUGGCUAAUACGGGAUAUUCUGGGUCUGUCGCAUGAUGGGUCUGGGAAAGAUAUUGUUUCGGUGGGGGAUGGGCUCGCGGCCUAUCAGCUUGUUGGUGGGGUGAUGGCCUACCAAGGCGGUGACGGGUAGCCGGCCUGAGAGGGUCGACGGUCACACUGGGGCGGCGACACGGCGCAGACUCCGACGGGAGGCAGCAGGGGGGAAUAUGGCACAAUGGGCGCAAGGCUGAUGCAGCGACGCCGCGGGAGGGAUGGAGGCCUUCGGGUUGUGAACCUCUUUCGCCAGUGAAGCAGGCCUGCCUCGUUUGUGGGUGGGUUGACGGUAGCUGGAGAAGAAGCGCCGGCUAACUACGUG